GGCAGGGCUGGACUCCGCCCCCCAAGCAUCUGAGCACCUCAAGGCUGGGUCCACCCACGUCUCCCAACAGCCGUGGAACCCAGAAGGGAGACUGAGUUUCUGCUGCAGCCUGAUACCUGAAAGAUAAGAGACUUCUAUCAAACAGGCUGCCAGCUUUAGAAGACUACCUAGCAGCAAAGUACCUCCAAGGCUUUCACAAAGGCUUUAACUUUUAAGAAUGUUUCUCAAAUGCAUCUUCAACAUUUAUAUCAAAAAAUUCCUACAUGCUCAUUCAGAUAGAAAGAAAAACUAAACAGUGAGAUGCAUUUUAUGACCUGUCAGAUGAGUAAAGAUAAAAGAGCAAAAUCAAAGUGAUGAUGAAAAAAAAAAAAAGGCUCAUAUAUGAGAA
Suricata suricatta (meerkat) is the source of this 388-nucleotide long non-coding RNA. RefSeq lists it as uncharacterized. The transcript has 2 exons. NCBI's taxonomy places the organism in Eukaryota, Metazoa, Chordata, Mammalia, Carnivora, Herpestidae. The record is from RefSeq and is a predicted model, not a curated record.